GACGUAGGGUGCGAGCGUUGUCCGGAUUUAUUGGGCGUAAAGAGCUCGUAGGCGGCUCGUCGCGUCGACCGUGAAAACCCGCGGCUUAACUGCGGGCUUGCGGUUGAUACGGGCGGGCUAGAGUUCGGUAGGGGAGACUGGAAUUCCUGGUGUAGCGGUGAAAUGCGCAGAUAUCAGGAGGAACACCAGUGGCGAAGGCGACUACCUGGCCUGUUCUUGACGCUGAGGCGCGAAAGCUAGGGGAGCAAACGGG
This 253-nucleotide ribosomal RNA is filed under the name uncultured bacterium. RNAcentral describes it as "partial 16S ribosomal RNA". It matches the Rfam family "Bacterial small subunit ribosomal RNA", at positions 524 to 776 of the family's 1533-position model. The record is from RNAcentral.